This 450-nucleotide ribosomal RNA is filed under the name uncultured bacterium. RNAcentral's name for it is "bacterial SSU rRNA". It matches the Rfam family "Bacterial small subunit ribosomal RNA", at positions 354 to 796 of the family's 1533-position model. The record is from RNAcentral.
GUGGGGAAUUUUGGACAAUGGGCGCAAGCCUGAUCCAGCAAUGCCGCGUGCAGGAAGAAGGCCUUCGGGUUGUAAACUGCUUUUGUACGGAACGAAACGGUCCGGGUUAAUACCCUGGGCUAAUGACGGUACCGUAAGAAUAAGCACCGGCUAACUACGUGCCAGCAGCCGCGGUAAUACGUAGGGUGCAAGCGUUAAUCGGAAUUACUGGGCGUAAAGCGUGCGCAGGCGGUGCUGUAAGACAGGCGUGAAAUCCCCGGGCUCAACCUGGGAAUUGCGCUUGUGACUGCAGUGCUGGAGUACGGCAGAGGGGGAUGGAAUUCCGCGUGUAGCAGUGAAAUGCGUAGAUAUGCGGAGGAACACCGAUGGCGAAGGCAGUCCCCUGGGCCUGUACUGACGCUCAUGCACGAAAGCGUGGGGAGCAAACAGGAUUAGAUACCCCGGUAGUCC